RNAcentral lists this ribosomal RNA (468 nucleotides) under uncultured bacterium. RNAcentral describes it as "partial 16S ribosomal RNA". It matches the Rfam family "Bacterial small subunit ribosomal RNA", at positions 28 to 507 of the family's 1533-position model. The record is from RNAcentral.
GACGAACGCUGGCGGCGUGCUUAACGCAUGCAAGUCGAACGGAAAGGCCCUGCUUUUGUGGGGUGCUCGAGUGGCGAACGGGUGAGUAACACGUGAGUAACCUGCCCUUGACUUUGGGAUAACUUCAGGAAACUGGGGCUAAUACCGGAUAGGAGCUCCUGCUGCAUGGUGGGGGUUGGAAAGUUUCGGCGGUUGGGGAUGGACUCGCGGCUUAUCAGCUUGUUGGUGGGGUAGUGGCUUACCAAGGCUUUGACGGGUAGCCGGCCUGAGAGGGUGACCGGCCACAUUGGGACUGAGAUACGGCCCAGACUCCUACGGGAGGCAGCAGUGGGGGAUAUUGCACAAUGGGCGGAAGCCUGAUGCAGCAACGCCGCGUGCGGGAUGACGGCCUUCGGGUUGUAAACCGCUUUCGCCUGUGACGAAGCGUGAGUGACGGUAAUGGGUAAAGAAGCACCGGCUAACUACGUG